CUAAAYGACUCUCGGCAACGGAUAUCUCGGCUCUUGCAUCGAUGAAGAACGUAGCGAAAUGCGAUACUUGGUGUGAAUUGCAGAAUCCCGUGAACCAUCGAGUCUUUGAACGCAAGUUGCGCCUGAAGCCAUCAGGUUGAAGGCACGUCUGCCUGGGCGUCACGCAU
Molecule: ribosomal RNA, 167 nt
Filed under: Erica multiflora
Lineage: Eukaryota; Viridiplantae; Streptophyta; Magnoliopsida; Ericales; Ericaceae
Description: 5.8S ribosomal RNA
Rfam family: 5.8S ribosomal RNA
About the family: 5.8S ribosomal RNA (5.8S rRNA) is a component of the large subunit of the eukaryotic ribosome. It is transcribed by RNA polymerase I as part of the 45S precursor that also contains 18S and 28S rRNA.
Source: RNAcentral